RNAcentral lists this ribosomal RNA (502 nucleotides) under uncultured bacterium. Its description in RNAcentral is "partial 16S ribosomal RNA". It matches the Rfam family "Bacterial small subunit ribosomal RNA", at positions 28 to 523 of the family's 1533-position model. The record is from RNAcentral.
GAUGAACGCUAGCGGCAGGCUUAAUACAUGCAAGUCGAGGGGCAGCGCGGGUAGCAAUACCUGGCGGCGACCGGCAAACGGGUGCGGAACACGUACGCAACCUUCCCAUAACUGGUGAAUAGCCCUCCGAAAGGAGGAUUAAUACACCGUAACAUAACGAAGAGGCAUCUUUUUGUUAUUAUAGUAGCAAUACGGUUUUGGAUGGGCGUGCGCCUGAUUAGGUAGUUGGCGGGGUAACGGCCCACCAAGCCUGCGAUCAGUAACUGGUGUGGGAGCACGACCAGUCACACGGGAACGGAGACACGGGCCCGACUCCUACGGGAGGCAGCAGUAAGGAAUAUUGGUCAAUGGACGAAAGUCUGAACCAGCCAUGCCGCGUGAAGGAUUAAGGCCCUCUGGGUUGUAAACUUCUUUUAUCUGGGACGAAAAAAGGGCAUUCUUGCUCACUUGACGGUACCAGAGGAAUAAGCACCGGCUAACUCCGUGCCAGCCGCCGCCGUAA